UACGGAGGGUGCAAGCGUUAAUCGGAAUUACUGGGCGUAAAGCGUGCGUAGGCGGUUAUCUAAGUCAGGUGUGAAAUCCCCGGGCUCAACCUGGGAAUUGCAUUUGAUACUGGAUAGCUAGAGUUCGGCAGAGGGAAGUGGAAUUUCUGGUGUAGCGGUGAAAUGCGUAGAUAUCAGAAGGAACAUCAGUGGCGAAAGCGACUUCCUGGGCCAGAACUGACGAUCAGGCACGAAAGCGUGGGGAGCAAACAGG
Molecule: ribosomal RNA, 253 nt
Filed under: uncultured bacterium
Lineage: Bacteria
Description: partial 16S ribosomal RNA
Rfam family: Bacterial small subunit ribosomal RNA
Source: RNAcentral